CGGGAGUUAGCUCAGCCUGGUAGAGCGCUUGCUUUGGGAGCAAGAUGCCGUAGGUUCGAAUCCUAUACUCCCGACCA
Molecule: transfer RNA, 77 nt
Filed under: Alphaproteobacteria bacterium
Lineage: Bacteria; Pseudomonadati; Pseudomonadota; Alphaproteobacteria
Description: tRNA-Pro
Rfam family: tRNA
About the family: Transfer RNA (tRNA) molecules are approximately 80 nucleotides in length. Their secondary structure includes four short double-helical elements and three loops (D, anti-codon, and T loops). Further hydrogen bonds mediate the characteristic L-shaped molecular structure. tRNAs have two regions of fundamental functional importance: the anti-codon, which is responsible for specific mRNA codon recognition, and the 3' end, to which the tRNAs corresponding amino acid is attached (by aminoacyl-tRNA synthetases). tRNAs cope with the degeneracy of the genetic code in two manners: having more than one tRNA (with a specific anti-codon) for a particular amino acid; and 'wobble' base-pairing, i.e. permitting non-standard base-pairing at the 3rd anti-codon position.
Source: RNAcentral